CUUCUUAUAAUCACAUAAAGUUGUAGCCGAACAGGCUCAUGCCAAGUUGGUGAUCCAUAUACUGUUGGGAGGAGAAGAAGCGUCGGAGACUUUCAAUAUUUCUCUAUUUUCAACCGCAAGAAGACCGAGUGUUGGUCUACGCCAAGGGCCCGAGAAACAACUCCAGGGUCGUAGAUGUCUGCAAGAAUGCUUGCAAGAGGAGUUCUGGACCCUACAGAGCCUUUGGAUUAGAUGCACAUAAAGGCUUGCAAGAGCCACCAUCCCAAUGUCAACUCCUUGAAGGCCUCCGUGAAUCAGGUCUGGCCACACUAUUCAUGGAAUACGCGAAGAAGACUUGCAACGCCUUCAAAUCCAAGAUUUUAGGGACCAUUCUCUUGCAUUGAUGAGUUUUGAUUAAAAAUCUGGAACCUUA
Tigriopus californicus is the source of this 412-nucleotide long non-coding RNA. RefSeq lists it as uncharacterized. Lineage: Eukaryota; Metazoa; Arthropoda; Copepoda; Harpacticoida; Harpacticidae. The record is from RefSeq and is a predicted model, not a curated record. The transcript is spliced from 2 exons.